Molecule: non-coding RNA, 235 nt
Organism: Pelobates cultripes (western spadefoot toad)
Lineage: Eukaryota; Metazoa; Chordata; Amphibia; Anura; Pelobatidae
Source: the annotation of a GenBank genome assembly
CGCAAUUUUAGUGCGGCCUCCGAGUGUUAGGUCUGUAUUGUUGCCACCUGGAACGCUGGUGUAUCCAUACACCAGUGGGCUCAGGGUGGGGACUGGGAUCACCCCCGCCGGCCCAGAGGGGGGGACAAGGCCGGACCCCCUCAGCCUCAUGCUUCGUUCAGACCUCUGGUGGGCAGGAUAGCAGGGUGGCGGCCGUCCACUCCACUCACCGCCCGAGUGCUCCCCAUCGCCAAAG